This 414-nucleotide ribosomal RNA is filed under the name uncultured Singulisphaera sp. RNAcentral's name for it is "bacterial SSU rRNA". It matches the Rfam family "Bacterial small subunit ribosomal RNA", at positions 355 to 774 of the family's 1533-position model. Lineage: Bacteria; Pseudomonadati; Planctomycetota; Planctomycetia; Isosphaerales; Isosphaeraceae. The record is from RNAcentral.
UCGAGAAUCUUCGGCAAUGGGCGCAAGCCUGACCGAGCGACGCCGCGUGGAGGAUGAAGGCCUUCGGGUUGUAAACUCCUGUCGAGGGGGAAAAAGGGUUGAAAGACCUUGAUUGAUCCCUGGAGGAAGCACGGGCUAAGUUCGUGCCAGCAGCCGCGGUAAGACGAACCGUGCGAACGUUAUUCGGAAUCAUUGGGCUUAAAGCGCGUGUAGGCGGAUUCGUGCGUCUGUCGCUGAAAUCCCCCGGCUCAACCGGGGAACGGGCGCGGAUACGACGAGUCUGGAGGGGCAUAGGGGGACCUGGAACUUCCGGUGGAGCGGUGAAAUGCGUUGAGAUCGGAAGGAACGCCCGUGGCGAAAGCGAGGUCCUGGAUGCCUACUGACGCUGAGACGCGAAAGCCAGGGGAGCGAACG